UUUGUCUCUGCUAAUACACAUUGCUCUCUGAAACUAGGAAAUCUGUCAAAUGGUACUCUUGGCAUCUGACUUCCUAUAAUCAUUUUUGUGGCAUCCCCAGAUCUUCAAAACUGAAUCUUCACAGAGUGAAUGCCAAAAGACAGCAAGCAACAGAUUCCAUUGAGGUUACCACAACUGACAGAAUGAACGAAAAACGUGACCUUAAAAGGUGAGGUGACUGAUAUUCUCCCACUACUGGCAUGUUCUUAGCUCUCAGAUGGAGUAGAUAUUCCGGCUUUUGUGCCCAUUCUUCAAGUUAGAAGAGUGCAGGAGUUUCCACAGAACUAUUAAUAAAUUAUAAUUGAAAAAGACUGAAAUGGCUGGA
Molecule: long non-coding RNA, 364 nt
Filed under: Numida meleagris (helmeted guineafowl)
Lineage: Eukaryota; Metazoa; Chordata; Aves; Galliformes; Numididae
Description: lncRNA (ENSNMEG00000009622.1)
Source: RNAcentral